RNAcentral lists this long non-coding RNA (295 nucleotides) under Ananas comosus (pineapple). Its description in RNAcentral is "long non-coding RNA (ACOM_LNC007398)". The record is from RNAcentral. Lineage: Eukaryota; Viridiplantae; Streptophyta; Magnoliopsida; Poales; Bromeliaceae.
CGAGAUUGGUUGGUAAGGAUCUGAGAUACGAUGAGCGACCGUUGCGGAUUCUUGCUCGAGAGACGAAAGAAUUGCGCAAUCGGGUCAUUCCGUAUGUAAAGGUGCAGUGGAGUAAUCACGAGGAGCAGGAGGCGACUUGGGAGCCCGAGGCGGUGAUGAGAGAGUCCUAUCCCUAUCUUUUUGAGGCUCAGGUUUGAGGUAUGUUUUAAGUUUCGAGGACGAAUUUUUUGUAGUAGAGAAGAAUGUAGUUUCCUAGGUGGAAUAGAGAGUUGGUAAAAGGGCAUUUUGGUCCUUU